Long non-coding RNA from Cyprinus carpio carpio, 727 nucleotides. NCBI's taxonomy places the organism in Eukaryota, Metazoa, Chordata, Actinopteri, Cypriniformes, Cyprinidae. The record is from Ensembl.
CGUGCAGUCUCACGAGCUCACAAUAAAAGCAUUUUUAUAGUUUUAAGAGCUUUUUAAAAUAAAAUAAUGCCGCGAAUGCACACAAUCCACCCAUUAGAACACAACAAGAGCUAAAUUCAGGUAUUUGUGAGCUGUUUGAUUGUGAAAAUUGAAAGACUAUUUGACAGCGCGAGACUGUCUAAGGGCAGAAUAACAUCGAUCUCUCGAGCUCCAGAGGACGCUGAUUCUGGCAAGAACGAACAAAUCAAGAACAAGGUUAUUUCAAAAUACAUAAUAGCUUGGCGAAUAUAAACGAAAACAGUCACGUGAACAUAAACAGUUGAGAAAUAAAUCUGAAGUGUAUCAUGAUACUGGAUUUGAAUAUUAAAGUGACUGCAUUUACCAGCUGCUUUCUGUCUUUAAUUUUAAUCUAUAAAAACAGAAAAUCAUUCGUCUUGGCUGCUUUUUUUGUAUGUAUUCGUGUAUUUAUUAUUAUUAUUAUUAUUUUUUUUUUUUGCUCUAACAAGAAUUAAUCUAUAUUUAAUUAAAUUAAAUUUCUGCAUCUAAACACCUAUAAACCUAAAACAUGCUCUAUUAAACUAUUGUUAGCAAUUUCUUUAUCGUCCAGUUUAACUGGUGUACAUAUUUUAUUUUCAUAAUAAUUUUUUUUUUUUUUUUUUGAUAAUAGACAGUUACAGUGGUCUAUAAUAAAUAUUAACAGGUUUUGUUCAAGCUGCUUAAAAUGUUU